This 112-nucleotide non-coding RNA is filed under the name Alkalihalobacillus pseudalcaliphilus. RNAcentral's name for it is "Bacillus pseudalcaliphilus SAM-I sequence". It matches the Rfam family "SAM riboswitch aptamer (S box leader)". Rfam says of the family: The SAM riboswitch is found upstream of a number of genes which code for proteins involved in methionine or cysteine biosynthesis in Gram-positive bacteria. Lineage: Bacteria; Bacillati; Bacillota; Bacilli; Caryophanales; Bacillaceae. The record is from RNAcentral.
AACUUAUCUAGAGUGGUGGAGGGAACUGACCCGUCGAAGCCCGGCAACCUAUUUGUUAGCCAAACAAAUAAAGGUGCUACGUUCAGCAGAGUAAAGCUCUGAGAGAUAAGAA